GCUCAUUUGGUGGAAAUGGUAGACACGUCAGACUUAAAAUCUGAUUUCAUAUUGAAGUAUUGGUUCAAGUCCAAUAAUGAGUA
This 83-nucleotide transfer RNA is filed under the name Navicula tsukamotoi. RNAcentral's name for it is "Haslea tsukamotoi tRNA-Leu". It matches the Rfam family "tRNA". From Rfam's summary of the family: Transfer RNA (tRNA) molecules are approximately 80 nucleotides in length. The record is from RNAcentral. Lineage: Eukaryota; Bacillariophyta; Bacillariophyceae; Naviculales; Naviculaceae.